AACCAGUACCGUGAGGGAAAGGCGAAAAGAACCCCGGCGAGGGGAGUGAAAAAGAACCUGAAACCGUGUACGUACAAGCAGUGGGAGCACGCUUAGGCGUGUGACUGCGUACCUUUUGUAUAAUGGGUCAGCGACUUAUAUUCUGUAGCAAGGUUAACCGAAUAGGGGAGCCGAAGGGAAACCGAGUCUUAACUGGGCGUUAAGUUGCAGGGUAUAGACCCGAAACCCGGUGAUCUAGCCAUGGGCAGGUUGAAGGUUGGGUAACACUAACUGGAGGACCGAACCGACUAAUGUUGAAAAAUUAGCGGAUGACUUGUGGCUGGGGGUGAAAGGCCAAUCAAACCGGGAGAUAGCUGGUUCUCCCCGAAAGCUAUUUAGGUAGCGCCUCGUGAAUUCAUCUCCGGGGGUAGAGCACUGUUUCGGCAAGGGGGUCAUCCCGACUUACCAACCCGAUGCAAACUGCGAAUACCGGAGAAUGUUAUCACGGGAGACACACGGCGGGUGCUAACGUCCGUCGUGAAGAGGGAAACAACCCAGACCGCCAGCUAAGGUCCCAAAGUCAUGGUUAAGUGGGAAACGAUGUGGGAAGGCCCAGACAGCCAGGAUGUUGGCUUAGAAGCAGCCAUCAUUUAAAGAAAGCGUAAUAGCUCACUGGUCGAGUCGGCCUGCGCGGAAGAUGUAACGGGGCUAAACCAUGCACCGAAGCUGCGGCAGCGACGCUGAUGCGUUGUUGGGUAGGGGAGCGUUCUGUAAGCCUGUGAAGGUGUGCUGUGAGGCAUGCUGGAGGUAUCAGAAGUGCGAAUGCUGACAUAAGUAACGAUAAAGCGGGUGAAAAGCCCGCUCGCCGGAAGACCAAGGGUUCCUGUCCAACGUUAAUCGGGGCAGGGUGAGUCGACCCCUAAGGCGAGGCCGAAAGGCGUAGUCGAUGGGAAACAGGUUAAUAUUCCUGUACUUGGUGUUACUGCGAAGGGGGGACGGAGAAGGCUAUGUUGGCCGGGCGACGGUUGUCCCGGUUUAAGCGUGUAGGCUGGUUUUCCAGGCAAAUCCGGAAAAUCAAGGCUGAGGCGUGAUGACGAGGCACUACGGUGCUGAAGCAACAAAUGCCCUGCUUCCAGGAAAAGCCUCUAAGCAUCAGGUAACAUCAAAUCGUACCCCAAACCGACACAGGUGGUCAGGUAGAGAAUACCAAGGCGCUUGAGAGAACUCGGGUGAAGGAACUAGGCAAAAUGGUGCCGUAACUUCGGGAGAAGGCACGCUGAUAUGUAGGUGAAGUCCCUCGCGGAUGGAGCUGAAAUCAGUCGAAGAUACCAGCUGGCUGCAACUGUUUAUUAAAAACACAGCACUGUGCAAACACGAAAGUGGACGUAUACGGUGUGACGCCUGCCCGGUGCCGGAAGGUUAAUUGAUGGGGUCAGCGCAAGCGAAGCUCUUGAUCGAAGCCCCGGUAAACGGCGGCCGUAACUAUAACGGUCCUAAGGUAGCGAAAUUCCUUGUCGGGUAAGUUCCGACCUGCACGAAUGGCGUAAUGAUGGCCAGGCUGUCUCCACCCGAGACUCAGUGAAAUUGAACUCGCUGUGAAGAUGCAGUGUACCCGCGGCAAGACGGAAAGACCCCGUGAACCUUUACUAUAGCUUGACACUGAACAUUGAGCCUUGAUGUGUAGGAUAGGUGGGAGGCUUAGAAGUGUGGACGCCAGUCUGCAUGGAGCCGACCUUGAAAUACCACCCUUUAAUGUUUGAUGUUCUAACGUUGACCCGUAAUCCGGGUUGCGGACAGUGUCUGGUGGGUAGUUUGACUGGGGCGGUCUCCUCCUAAAGAGUAACGGAGGAGCACGAAGGUUGGCUAAUCCUGGUCGGACAUCAGGAGGUUAGUGCAAUGGCAUAAGCCAGCUUGACUGCGAGCGUGACGGCGCGAGCAGGUGCGAAAGCAGGUCAUAGUGAUCCGGUGGUUCUGAAUGGAAGGGCCAUCGCUCAACGGAUAAAAGGUACUCCGGGGAUAACAGGCUGAUACCGCCCAAGAGUUCAUAUCGACGGCGGUGUUUGGCACCUCGAUGUCGGCUCAUCACAUCCUGGGGCUGAAGUAGGUCCCAAGGGUAUGGCUGUUCGCCAUUUAAAGUGGUACGCGAGCUGGGUUUAGAACGUCGUGAGACAGUUCGGUCCCUAUCUGCCGUGGGCGCUGGAGAACUGAGGGGGGCUGCUCCUAGUACGAGAGGACCGGAGUGGACGCAUCACUGGUGUUCGGGUUGUCAUGCCAAUGGCACUGCCCGGUAGCUAAAUGCGGAAGAGAUAAGUGCUGAAAGCAUCUAAGCACGAAACUUGCCCCGAGAUGAGUUCUCCCUGACUCCUUGAGAGUCCUGAAGGAACGUUGAAGACGACGACGUUGAUAGGCCGGGUGUGUAAGCGCAGCGAUGCGUUGAGCUAACCGGUACUAAUGAACCGUGAGG
This 2443-nucleotide ribosomal RNA is filed under the name Escherichia coli. RNAcentral describes it as "partial 23S ribosomal RNA". It matches the Rfam family "Bacterial large subunit ribosomal RNA", at positions 493 to 2915 of the family's 2925-position model. The record is from RNAcentral. Lineage: Bacteria; Pseudomonadati; Pseudomonadota; Gammaproteobacteria; Enterobacterales; Enterobacteriaceae.